GUCUAGGGCCACUAAGUGAUGAAUUGUAUUUGGAAGCAAAAAGGAUGGCUAAAAAGGGCCUCAACCCUUUU
RNAcentral lists this small RNA (71 nucleotides) under Pongo abelii (Sumatran orangutan). The record is from RNAcentral. Lineage: Eukaryota; Metazoa; Chordata; Mammalia; Primates; Hominidae.